GAUGAACGCUGGCGGCGUGCUUAACACAUGCAAGUCGAACGGUGACGCAGUGCUUGCUCUGUGGUUCAGUGGCGAACGGGUGAGUAACACGUGAGCACCCCGCCCCCUACUCUGGGAUAAGCGCUGGAAUCGGCGACCAUUCCCUGAUAUGAGCUGCGACCGCCUGGUCAGCAGUUGGAAACUUGUUGCGGUCUGGGAUGGGUUCACGGCCUAUCAGCUUGUUGGUCGGGUAAUGGCUCACCACGCCGUCGCCGGGUUCCCGGCCUGAGAGGGGUGACGGCCACACUGGGACUGAGGCACGGAGCAGACGCCUACGGGAGGCAGCGGGGGCAAAUAUGGCACAGUGAGCGAGAGCCGGAGGAGGAGGCGCCGCGGGUGGGAUGACGGCUUGUGGGGUGUAAACCGCUGUUGGUAAAGAAGAAGCUAAAGUGACGGUACCUAAAGAAAAAGCGCCGGCUAACUACGUG
RNAcentral lists this ribosomal RNA (467 nucleotides) under uncultured bacterium. RNAcentral describes it as "partial 16S ribosomal RNA". It matches the Rfam family "Bacterial small subunit ribosomal RNA", at positions 28 to 507 of the family's 1533-position model. The record is from RNAcentral.